RNAcentral lists this ribosomal RNA (563 nucleotides) under Burkholderiales bacterium VC57. RNAcentral's name for it is "bacterial SSU rRNA". It matches the Rfam family "Bacterial small subunit ribosomal RNA", at positions 334 to 873 of the family's 1533-position model. The record is from RNAcentral. Lineage: Bacteria; Pseudomonadati; Pseudomonadota; Betaproteobacteria; Burkholderiales.
UACUCUUACGGGAGGCAGCAGUGGGGAAUUUUGGACAAUGGGCGCAAGCCUGAUCCAGCCAUGCCGCGUGCGGGAAGAAGGCCUUCGGGUUGUAAACCGCUUUUGUCAGGGAAGAAAAGUUCUGGGCUAAUACCCCGGGACGAUGACGGUACCUGAAGAAUAAGCACCGGCUAACUACGUGCCAGCAGCCGCGGUAAUACGUAGGGUGCAAGCGUUAAUCGGAAUUACUGGGCGUAAAGCGUGCGCAGGCGGUCUUGCAAGACAGAUGUGAAAUCCCCGGGCUUAACCUGGGAACUGCAUUUGUGACUGCAAGGCUGGAGUACGGUAGAGGGGGAUGGAAUUCCGCGUGUAGCAGUGAAAUGCGUAGAUAUGCGGAGGAACACCGAUGGCGAAGGCAAUCCCCUGGACCUGUACUGACGCUCAUGCACGAAAGCGUGGGGAGCAAACAGGAUUAGAUACCCUGGUAGUCCACGCCCUAAACGAUGUCAACUGGUUGUUGGGAGGGUUUCUUCUCAGUAACGUAGCUAACGCGUGAAGUUGACCGUACUCCUACAGCGGCCCUC